RNAcentral lists this long non-coding RNA (112 nucleotides) under Prolemur simus (greater bamboo lemur). RNAcentral's name for it is "Nuclear enriched abundant transcript 1 conserved region 2 (ENSPSMG00000023584.1)". It matches the Rfam family "Nuclear enriched abundant transcript 1 conserved region 2". The record is from RNAcentral. Lineage: Eukaryota; Metazoa; Chordata; Mammalia; Primates; Lemuridae.
CCCUUUGGACUUUCUUUAGGUUUGGUGCUAAACUCUUCUGUGAGCUCACUCUACUCCUCUCCUCCCUUUAACUCUCUCGAGGGUAUCAUUCACUUAAAACGUUGCCUCUGGU